AUUGAACGCUGGCGGCAGGCUUAACACAUGCAAGUCGAGCGAGCGGCGCACGGGUGAGUAAUGUCUGGGAAACUGCCUGAUGGAGGGGGAUAAAUACUGAAAGCGGUAGAUAAUACCGCAUACCCUCAGAUGUGCACAGAUGGGAUUAGCUAGGAGGUGGGGUAAUGGCUCACCUAGGCGACGAUCCCUAGCUGGUCUGAGAGGAUGACCAGCCACACUGGAACUGAGACACGGUCCAGACUCCUACGGGAGGCAGCAGUGGGGAAUAUUGCACAAUGGGCGCAAGCCUGAUGCAGCCAUGCCGCGUGUGUGAAGAAGGCCUUCGGGUUGUAAAGCACUUUCAGCGAGGAGGCGUUACGCGCAGAAGAAGCACCGGCUAACUCCGUGCCAGCAGCCGCGGUAAUUC
RNAcentral lists this ribosomal RNA (406 nucleotides) under uncultured bacterium. RNAcentral's name for it is "partial 16S ribosomal RNA". It matches the Rfam family "Bacterial small subunit ribosomal RNA", at positions 30 to 526 of the family's 1533-position model. The record is from RNAcentral.